RNAcentral lists this long non-coding RNA (3910 nucleotides) under Gossypium barbadense (sea-island cotton). Its description in RNAcentral is "long non-coding RNA (GBAR_LNC003019)". Lineage: Eukaryota; Viridiplantae; Streptophyta; Magnoliopsida; Malvales; Malvaceae. The record is from RNAcentral.
UAAAAUAAAAAAUGGUUAUAUUAAAAAUUUAAAAUAAUUAAAAAUAAAAUAAAUAUAUAUAUUAAUAUAUAAUUCGGGCCGGGCCCGGGCCAAAAAACCCUUACCCGAGGCCCGACCCGUUUUCUAAACGGGCCUCAUUUUUUUGCCCAAGCCCAUUUUUCGGGCCUAUAUUUUUACCCAAACCCUCCCAAUUUUCGGGCGGGCCUUCGGGCCGGGCCGAACCGCCCAGCCCAUGAUUAGCUCUACUAAGGUGGCUAUAUGUGGCUUUCUCAUUCUAAACCUAAAACUUUGUAUUUAUAGGGCAAAAUUCACAUAAAAGAAAAAAAUACAAAAGUACUAUUAAUGAAUUGAAAUAAUUUUCUAGGUUUCUGGUAGAUUUGUGUCACAAACUUUUAGGUCAUUUUUGGGCACUUUUCGAAAUAUCUCCCCUCUUUAAAUCAAAUAUCUUGAAAUAUUUUAGGCAUUUUCUAUCACACCCUCAUUAGGUGAACUAGUUCUGUUUGGUAGACUACGCUGGCGAAGACUGCCUAAGUUGCGAGACUUAGAUAGGGUAAGGUUGGUAACUUCGUGGUGAAGUACUUUGUUGAACUUUGUCGAUACUGCAGCAUUCCACUGAUCAACCUUUAUCACUGAACAACCAAGUAAGUUCCUUUGUCCAUUGGUUCUGGUGCUCGUGGCUAAGGAAAUGCAUUUAAGGAGUCAAUGCAUACAAAGGUAUAAAUUGUUGACAGACCUAGAAAUCUAGUGUAUAUACAUAGUGUAAAUACUCCUUCCUUGGUGCACAAGCUUUGUAUCCAGACUAGUAUAAGAAGGCAACGGAGGGAUGUUGCAUAUUGUGAUGAAAAAAAGAUACAUGAUAAUAUGUUUUGCCCCCAAUAUGGCACUCUGCUGCAAACCGUGGCUAGUGAAAACCUGACCUUCUAGGAACACGUGUAUGUUCGAAAAAAAAGAAGGAUGUUAGGGGGUAUGAAGGUGAUAAAUGGUAAAUAGAUUUGAUAGUGGUAUGAAGAUAAGAAGUUAGCAUAAAGAAGGGAGUAUGUGGGAAAAAGAGGGACAUAUGUGUAAAAUAAGGAGUGUAUGUUGCAUGAAAUGUAAAUAGUAAGUCUGAUAGUCAUAAAAGGAUGGUUUACGAAAAUAGUAUACACGCAAAGCAGUUGUAACACCCUUCACUUGUCUCCGUUUCCAAAAUCGAAUUAUGGGAUGUUACAGUAAUAAAUAUGAACAAGAACAUGUGAAUUAAUUCAAAAUUUCAAUAAAUCAUUCACCAUAUCUCAACAUUCAAACUAAAUAUAAUUAUCAUACAAUUCCGAGCUUAAACGAGCUUAUGAAACCUCUCAAACUAAACUGGUAUCAAAUAGGGUUUUAUUAGAAAACUUAACAAAAAGUGGGAAAAAUUAAAAAAUAAGGGUCACACGGCCAUGUAUCCAGGCCGUGUGACAGACUAUGGACAUGUGUACUUGAAUCACACGACCAUGUCGCCAAGCUAUGCAACAAACUGACGUCGUGCAAGGAUGGAGUCACAGGCCGUGUCGAUAAGAUGUGUAACAAAUUGGAGCCCUGUGGACCUAAAUGCAAAGUUUUCAACUAAAAUGCACAUGGCUAUGUCUUAGACCAUGUAAUAGACUAAGACCGUGUGCCAAACUUUAUUGAACAAAUGAAUAGUACCACACGAGCGUGUGACCAGCUCGUGUGACAAACUAUAAUCGUGUGAAUCCAAAACUUCCCAAUCAAUAUAGAGCACACAACCAUGUUAAAUGCCCGAGUGUGACACACGACUGUGUUAUCCCAUGCGUGCCAAUAGGUACCCUAUAAUGCAAGUUACAAAACUAAAUUCAUAGAUAUACCAAAAGUAAGCACUUAAUCAAUCUUUAUACUUGUUCAAAAUACACAAAAGCAUACCAAAAACAUGUCAUUUUCCUAGUUCUAACUAAUAUGCCAUAAGACACCAUCACAAACAUGAAACAACACCAAAGUUCAACUCAAUUUAUGUCAAGGUAGAAAGUGACCAAACAUAAUCCAUUACACAAACCAAGUACAUUCUUCAAUAAUCUAAUAUUGACCAAGAAUGUUAAAUCUAUAACUUAUAAGUUUAAUGCCAAAACUUCCACACAUACCAUGUAAUAUCCCGUUUUCCAGUGGUAUCAGAAACGAUGGUUUCAAGACCACAUUUUGACAUGUGAAGUUGUGUUUUAUGGUUUAUUUAAUGUUUAUAAAGUUACACUAGGGUCAUAUUAAAUUUUGGUGAUGAAAUUUUAAUGUUUAGUUAGUCAAUUAAUUAAAAAUGAUCAAAUUGUAAAAGAUGUAAAAUUAGCUACAAUUGAAUUAUAGUGAUUAGAUGGAUUAAUUAUUAUUUAAGGGAGGAUUAUAUGGAAAAUUAUUCUAUAAAACAAGUUAAUGGAUGGUAAUGGGUAUUGUUUAAGCUUAAAUGAAUGUUUUAUUAAAUGGUAGUAUGGUAAUUUAAUAAUUACCAUAAAAACAAAAGAUAACAAAUUAUGUUAUCAUCUUUAUUGUUUUCUUCAUCACCGAUUGUAAUAGGGGAAAUACACCAUUUUUGGUGCUUGAAGGUUUGGCCACCAUAGCUCUGUGCAUGUAAGUAAUUUCCAACUUGUUUCUUGUAAUUUUUAUAUUUUUGAGAUCGUUGCAACUAGGUCCUACUAACCCGAAUCUUUAUUUUUGAAACUGUUAAAAUUUUGAAUGUUACCAUUAAUGAAUAUUGAUUGUUCUUGAUGUUAAUGAUGAGUUUGAAGUCUUGGUUGUGAUUUUGGACUGUUUUGUAAAUUGAUUUUUGUUAGUUUUAGUUAAAGGAUUAAAUAGUUGAAAUGUUAAAAAUCUCAUGGUAUAAUUGUGAAAUAGUGAUAUUUUAGGGUUUGUUUUGUAGCCUUACAUAUUAGCUAGAUGUUUUUAUUUUCAAAAGUGGAUAAUUUGAUGAUUUUCGGGACAAGAGACUAAAUUGCAUAAAGUGAGAAAGUUAGGGGCAACUAUGUAAUUUUUGUAAAUAGAAGGGUUCAAAUUUUAGAAUUUAUUAACAUAUGAAAUUUAAGCUAAUAAAUGAAAUAAAUUAUAUUUUAGAUCAAGAUUCUGUUGAUAUACAGGGGAAGGAAAAAUAGCAGAAUAGUUCUUAAACUUCUGUAAAUUCUACAAUUUAGCCAAGGUAAGUUCGUAAUUAUUUACUAUUCAAUGUGAUUCACUUGUAAUUUAUGUCGAUAUUAUCAUGUUAGUUGAUCUCUCUGAAUGUACAUGUGAGUAUAAUUGUUAGGAAUGCAAGUAUCAUAUUUAUAUAUAUAUACAUGAAAUUAAGAAGUAGGUAUUAAUAGUGUUUCUUGGAUAUGAAAUGUAUUGGAUGAGAUUGUAAUAAGUUUUAAUAUGAAUACGGAAAUGUGAAGUGAUUUCAUUGCACCUCGGUGCCUCUGAUAGUACAUUAGUGCCCCUGAAUGCACUUUGGUGCCCCUGAUAGCACAUUUGUGCCCCUGACUGCGCUUCAUUGCCCCUGUUUUGCAUCUAUGAUGCCUCUGAAAAUGUAUGAGGUUCGAGUAGGUGAACUGGAUAAUUUUGAACUUGAUUAAAUGAUAUGAAGAGAUCUUGAAAACUUAUAGACAAAGUAGUUGAGAAUUUUAGUUAUCAUGUUAUAAUAUUUAAGUGAUUUCUUUACUAAAAGUAAUUCAAGUAGAUUUUACCCUAUGAUCUUACUAAGCCAUUUAAACUUAAUGAAAUUUUCUCAUGUCAUUUUGUAGUUAACGGUUAUAGAUGGCUCAAAGGAUUGACAUCAAAGCUCACACUAUCCAUUUACUCUUGGUAGUUUUUAUAUUUCUUUUUGGUUGUGGCAUGUAUAAAGGUUUUGCUGUAAGAAAGUUAACAUUAGAUGUUUAUAAGAUAUGAAAAGUUAUUUAGUAUUUGUGACUAUGUUAUGUGG